UGGUAAUAAUUACCUCGUAACACUCCAAC
RNAcentral lists this small RNA (29 nucleotides) under Bombyx mori (domestic silkworm). RNAcentral describes it as "piRNA piR-bmo-2086666". Lineage: Eukaryota; Metazoa; Arthropoda; Insecta; Lepidoptera; Bombycidae. The record is from RNAcentral.